AUACGGAGGGUGCAAGCGUUAAUCGGAAUUACUGGGCGUAAAGCGCUCGUAGGCGGCUUGUAAAGUCGGAUGUGAAAGCCCCGGGCUCAACCUGGGAACUGCAUUCGAUACUGGCAGGCUAGAGUAUAGUAGAGGCAAGUGGAAUUCCGGGUGUAGCGGUGAAAUGCGUAGAUAUCCGGAGGAACAUCAGUGGCGAAGGCGACUUGCUGGACUAAUACUGACGCUAAGGAGCGAAAGCGUGGGGAGCAAACGGGAUUAGAUACCCGAGUAGUCC
RNAcentral lists this ribosomal RNA (274 nucleotides) under uncultured bacterium. RNAcentral's name for it is "partial 16S ribosomal RNA". It matches the Rfam family "Bacterial small subunit ribosomal RNA", at positions 523 to 796 of the family's 1533-position model. The record is from RNAcentral.